Molecule: transfer RNA, 66 nt
Filed under: Tretioscincus oriximinensis
Lineage: Eukaryota; Metazoa; Chordata; Lepidosauria; Squamata; Gymnophthalmidae
Description: tRNA-Val
Rfam family: tRNA
About the family: Transfer RNA (tRNA) molecules are approximately 80 nucleotides in length.
Source: RNAcentral
CAAAAGGUAGCUUAUAUUAAAGCAUCUGGCUUACAACCAGAAGUCUGUUGUAUUACAACCCUUUUG